GGGGGUGGCUGGUGGCUUUGUGGUGGAGUGUGUGUUUCGCAUUUAUGAGAUCCGUGUUUUAAUCCCUGGCACCUCCAUC
This 79-nucleotide transfer RNA is filed under the name Cervus elaphus hippelaphus. RNAcentral's name for it is "tRNA-Ala". Lineage: Eukaryota; Metazoa; Chordata; Mammalia; Artiodactyla; Cervidae. The record is from RNAcentral.